UGUUGCGUGUUUUUGCUGGGUUCCUAUCGCCAUAACUUUGACUGAAUGAGUGGGAUAAUGUAAACUUUACUCUCACAUUACUUUGGCUAGAAGUUUGUCCAAGUGGAGCGAUUCGGGAGGUUAAUACAGUUCGUGCAGUCCUGCGGGAGUAUGACGAUGAAGAGCACUUCCAGAACAAGCUGCAUAUAGACUCAUCAACCUGCCUAGCCCUUGAUCAUUUCCUCCACCCUCUGGCCCUCCUGACUCAUCUCCACUGUGUCUCCCUGUGGCAUCCAUGAUAUCAUCCUCCUCUCGCCUGCAGCAGGUCGGGUUAUUCCCUCAGCGGUUUGGAAUUUGACACUCUGAUAAACAAAUGGAGGCGUAACAAGUCUCUCUGGUGAGGGUCCAGAGCCCCGGAGGAUUGGAACAAGACUCUGUCACCUAACACCAAGCACACACUGAUAUCGUCCUGCACUCUGCCAAACAUGCCACCACCUCACCAGCUGCGCUCGGAUCAGCAAGCAUUUUUUAAGCUUCCUAAAUGAGAGCAGCCUGGAGAGAGUCUCUGGCUUGUUAAGAGAAAAAGUGGAUUCAAGCACCAAAAGAACAACUUCAGUCAAACUUUGGUACAGAGGCGGCUAAAAGUUUGAGUGAGCUGGUAAGUGUUCACCGACCUCAAACCAAAGCUGAUCUCAUUUCCCCAAAUGAGUUGGUGAAUGUGGGCAUGAUUACUGUCAAAAAAAUCUGAAAUAUUCUGUUUCCAUCCUCAUCUUCAAUCAGUUUCACCACAGCCUUGAGCUGAAUGAUGUUUGUGGUGGUCUUUUGAUAUUUCAUCACUGAAGUUGGGCUGUGAAAGGGAUGCAGUUUUGGGGUUAUCCUAGGAUUGUUGCAUUUUUUUCAAGGUUAUAUCAGGCCUCACUAAUUUAAAGCUGUUUCACCAAAUGAAA
Molecule: long non-coding RNA, 926 nt
Organism: Notolabrus celidotus (New Zealand spotty)
Lineage: Eukaryota; Metazoa; Chordata; Actinopteri; Labriformes; Labridae
Exons: 4
Source: RefSeq, a predicted model, not a curated record